Molecule: small RNA, 4110 nt
Filed under: Pongo abelii (Sumatran orangutan)
Lineage: Eukaryota; Metazoa; Chordata; Mammalia; Primates; Hominidae
Description: processed transcript
Source: RNAcentral
AUUUGACACACGAAUGUAUAGCAGUCAUUGGGAAACUCCACAGCUCAUGUUUUCCUCAUAGUAGAUGUGUGCUCCCAUCUCCAUGGAUUUGUCCCUCACAACCCCCACCCCAUGGUAAGUCAGGCCAGUGUCCUCCCAGCUGCAGAGCUGAGAAGGCUGCACAGUUGCCUACUGAGAACCUGCCUGCGGGUCAGAGCAAAGUGAGAACGGGCCCGUGCCCACUCACAGUGCUACUGUCGGCCCAAGCUCUUUGGGAUGUAGUGGAAAGUCAUGGUGGGUGCAGUGAGGAGAGAUGGAACCCAAGGUGCUGGCUACAGAGCUCACUUGUGUUUCGUUUCAGGGCUCUCUUUACCUAUGAAGGCAACAGCAACGACAUCCGCGUGGCUGGCACAGGGGGUGAGUAUGACUCCAAAUGGACUCGGGGACACCAGGAGAUAGGAGGGUGACGACCAGGGGUCAGCGCACUCAGCCGUCUUGGUCCACUGAGCCACAUGGGGCUUCCAGUGCUCACCGGCCACUUCUGGCAGGCCUUAGGUUUCAGAUAUGUGUAAGUGAAAACAUUCCUCCUUGGCUCUCCUUCCCUCUGGGUGCAGGGGAGUGCUUUCUCUUUGUCUACUUGGGGAGAGCUGAGAGGGAAACAGGCCUCUCCAGCUUGCGGGCAGCCUGCGUAGGGAGCUGCAGCAGGAAGCUCACCAGUCCCAGAACUGGUGCUGGUAGAAAGAAAGUCCACAGACAUAUCCUCUUCUCCCUUUGUCCUGCCCUGGUCUUGUGCUGAGUGCUUGCAGGGGCCCCAUCCUCACUGGGAGAGGCAGUAUCACUGCAGAUAGUCACAGGGGAGGCUCUGGGGGUCUCUACAGGAAGGACAGGCUCUUGGCCAGCACAGAGCAGAGGCUGUCAGGGUAGGCUUGGUCAGAGUGUGACCUGUGGGCCCCCCAGCUGACACCCCUGACUGCUCCUCCUCCAGAACUUGCCUGACCCCUCCCUCUGUCCUGAGCUGGACAUGGCUUCAUUGUUCAAUGAACACUCGGAGUGUGUUUUCCACGGUUUGAUGUCUGUUGUUGGUAGAAAGCCCCUUCCUUUCACAACCUUUUCGGGAGGUGUCCCCUUUCUAGAAGGAUUGCCACUGAACAGUAGACAUGUGGUGUGGCAGGUGACUGGGAGUUGCAGGGAUCAACAACUCGAGAGUUUCCUGUCAUCAUUCUUAGUGGCACAGGACAGGGCUCUGCCACAAAUGCAACAAUUUGCUGUCCCCAGAGUGGGGCUUAUGACUGCCUCCACUCAUACGGAGCCCUGUAGCUGAAAUACCUGAUCAGCUCUUCCUCCGUAUAACCUGGGAAAGCUUGUGGGGGCUAAGCCUCAGUGUCAGGGAGAAUCGUUUAGAGCUGCCCACUCCUGCGCUCCCUCUGUCCCCAUCACCCUCUCUUCUGGAGUCUGAGGUCUGAGCCAGUUAUGCCACUGCAGGAUGUUCAAUCCGGUCUGGCGGUCUGGGUGGCCCUGGAGCUUGAGCAGACACAGGUGCAGGCAGUGGUGACUCUACAGGCCCUGCUAUUCCAGGCCCCUUUGCAAGGUUGCGGCAACAAUAAAAUUUUGACGUAGACAUCCUCCAUUUGGAAGUCUGGUGGCUGGUUUGCCGUGGAAAUGACCCUGUUUUUAUUUCCAGAAUUACCUCUGGGUUUAGAGAAGUGGUUUUUAAACGAGUAUGGGUAAAAAAGAUUACCUGAGGUACUUGUCAGAAUCACAGACUCCUAGGUCCCACCCAGCUCUCAUCAAUCAGUUUAGUGAGGGUGGUGCCCAGGACUCUGAUUUUAAACAUACCCCUAGAAAGAUUCUGAUACAGGUAGAGGUGAGAAGCCCUGGUUUAGAGGCAGCUCGGCCUCCCUUCCUGGUGGGACCAGGGCCAGCAGGGAAUGUCAGAGCCACCCCUGACCUUCAUUGUGACUCUGUUGCAGAGGGUGGCCUGGAGGAGAUGGUGGAGGAGCUCAACAGUGGGAAGGUGAUGUACGCCUUCUGCAGAGUGAAGGACCCCAACUCCGGACUGCCCAAAUUUGUCCUCAUCAACUGGACAGGCGAGGGCGUGAAUGAUGUGCGGAAGGGAGCCUGCGCCAGCCACGUCAGCACCAUGGCCAACUUCCUGAAGGGGGCCCAUGUGACCAUCAACGCACGGGCCGAGGAGGAUGUGGAGCCUGAGUGCAUCAUGGAGAAGGUGGCCAAGGCUUCAGGUGCCAACUACAGCUUUCACAAGGAGAGUGGCCGCUUCCAGGAUGCGGGACCCCAGGCCCCAGUGGGCUCUGUGUACCAGAAGACCAAUGCCGUGUCUGAGAUUAAAAGGGUUGGUAAAGACAGCUUCUGGGCCAAAGCAGAGGUGAGUGCUGCCCCGGGGCGUGCUGGGCACGUGGGAGUGUUCUGCCUGCUGUGGCUCAGCUUUCCUCACAAGUGAGCUCGUGCAGCAUCCACUCUCCUUGGUGCCCAUUACAGAUGGUCACACUGAGGCUCGGGUAGGUUAAGCCACAAGGCUAAUGAGCGACUGGCUCUGGUGCCCGUCUUUGGCCAUGUGCCUAAAACCCAGUCCUGGGCAGGGGAUUAGGCUGAAGUGUCAGCACAGGGCUGAGCGGGCAGUGGCUCUCCCUGCAGAAGGAGGAGGAGAACCGUCGGCUAGAGGAAAAGCGGCGGGCCGAGGAGGCGCAGCGGCAGCUGGAGCAGGAGCGCCGGGAGCGUGAGCUGCGUGAGGCUGCACGCCGGGAGCAGCGCUAUCAGGAGCAGGGUGGCGAGGCCAGCCCCCAGAGGACGUGGGAGCAACAGCAAGAAGUGGUUUCAAGGAACCGAGAUGAGCAGGAGUCUGCCGUGUACCCAAGGGAGAUUUUCAAGCAGAAGGAGAGGGCCAUGACCACCACCUCCAUCUCCAGUCCUCAGCCUGGCAAGCUGAGGAGCCCCUUCCUGCAGAAGCAGCUCACCCAACCAGAGACCCACUUUGGCAGAGAGCCAGCUGCUGCCGUCUCAAGGCCCAGGGCAGAUCUCCCUGCUGAGGAGCCGGUGCCCAGCACUCCUCCAUGUCUGGUGCAGGCAGAAGAGGAGGCUGUGUAUGAGGAACCCCCAGAGCAGGAGACCUUCUACGAGGAGCCCCCACUGGUGCAGCAGCAAGGUGCCGGCUCUGAGCACAUUGACCACCACAAUCAGGGCCAGGGGCUCAGUGGGCAAGGGCUCUGUGCCCGUGCCCUGUACGACUACCAGGCAGCCGACGACACAGAGAUCUCCUUUGACCCCGAGAACCUCAUCACGGGCAUCGAGGUGAUCGACGAAGGCUGGUGGCGUGGCUAUGGGCCGGAUGGCCAUUUUGGCAUGUUCCCUGCCAACUACGUGGAGCUCAUUGAGUGAGGCUGAGGGCACAUCUUGCCCUUCCCCUCUCAGACAUGGCUUCCUUAUUGCUGGAAGAGGAGGCCUGGGAGUUGACAUUCGGCACUCUUCCAGGAAUGGGACCCCCAGUGAGGAUGAGGCCUCAGGGCUCCCUCCGGCUUGGCAGACUCAGCCCGUCACCCCAAAUGCGGCAAUGACCUGGUGAUUCCCACACAUCCUUCCUGCAUCCCCCGACCCUCCCAGACAGCUUGGCUCUUGCCCGUGACAGGAUACUGAGCCAAGCCCUGCCUGUGGCCAAGCCCUGCCUGUGGCCAAGCCCUGAGUGGCCACUGCCAAGCUGCGGGGAAGGGUCCUGAGCAGGGGCAUCUGGGAGGCUCCGGCUGCCUUCUGCAUUUAUUUGCCUUUUUUCUUUUUCUCUUGCUUCUAAGGGGUGGUGGCCACCACUGUUUAGAAUGACCCUUGGGAACAGUGAACAUAGAGAAUUGUUUUUAGCAGAGUUUGUGACCAAAGUCAGAGUGGAUCAUGGUGGUUUGGCAGCAGGGAAGUAGUCUUGUUGGAGCCUGCUCUGUGCUCCCCACUCCAUUUCUCUGUCCCUCUGCCUGGGCUAUGGGAAGUAGGGAUGCAGAGGGCCAAGCUCCCACCCUGGGUAUUCGAAAACAGCAGACACAACAUGUUCCUCCACGCGGCUCACUCGAUGCCUGCAGGCCUCAGUGUGUGCCUCAACUGAUUCUGACUUCAGGAAAAGUAACACAGAGUGGC